GACUUGAUAUGGCUGAAAAACAAAACACGAGAACCUCACGAAGCAUACAGAAGUUUCAAUAACUGAAUUGACCAAGCAUCAGAAAGGAUAUCAGAGAUUGAAGAUCAACUCAAUGAAGUAAAAUGAGAAGGCAAAAUUAGAGAAAAAAGAGU
Sapajus apella (tufted capuchin) is the source of this 152-nucleotide long non-coding RNA. RefSeq lists it as uncharacterized. NCBI's taxonomy places the organism in Eukaryota, Metazoa, Chordata, Mammalia, Primates, Cebidae. The transcript has 2 exons. The record is from RefSeq and is a predicted model, not a curated record.